GGUCGGCUGAUCAGAUGCCGGGGAUAAAAGGCGCCUCAAAGGGUCCAGACCCGGGUCCGAGGCACGGGGAGACAGAGGCAGCAGCUCCGUGGCAUCAGAGCCGUCUGCAAAAAAGGACAGCAGGGGAACGAGGAGGGCAGAUUUUAGACUGAUCAAAGUGCUGCAAAUAGAUUACAUUGUGUGCGCAGGAACCAAAAGGUAUUUUACCUGGUCUGCAGCAGUUCUGGGUUGACGGAGUGCUGCCUGCGGAGCGGAGCCUGUUUGGUCUGGUUGGCCGGCUGGCUCUCG
Xiphophorus hellerii (green swordtail) is the source of this 288-nucleotide long non-coding RNA. RefSeq lists it as uncharacterized. NCBI's taxonomy places the organism in Eukaryota, Metazoa, Chordata, Actinopteri, Cyprinodontiformes, Poeciliidae. The record is from RefSeq and is a predicted model, not a curated record. The transcript has 3 exons.